Molecule: ribosomal RNA, 527 nt
Filed under: uncultured eukaryote
Lineage: Eukaryota
Description: SSU rRNA
Rfam family: Eukaryotic small subunit ribosomal RNA
Source: RNAcentral
AGUCAUAUGCUUGUCUCAAAGAUUAAGCCAUGCAUGUCUAAGUAUAAGCGACUUGUACUGUGAAACUGCGAAUGGCUCAUUAAAUCAGUUAUGGUUUCUUUGAUGGUACCUUGCUACUUGGAUACCCGUAGUAAUUCUAGAGCUAAUACAUGCAGGAAUGCCCGACUUCGGAAGGGCUGUAUUUAUUAGAUAAGAAACCAUCUCGGGUCCGCCCGGUUGUGUGCUGAGUCAUAAUAACUGCUCGAAUCGCACGGCUCUACGCCGGCGAUGGUUCAUUCAAAUUUCUGCCCUAUCAGCUUUCGAUGGUAGGAUAGAGGCCUACCAUGGCGUUAACGGGUAACGGAGAAUUAGGGUUCGAUUCCGGAGAGGGAGCCUGAGAAAUGGCUACCACAUCCAAGGAAGGCAGCAGGCGCGUAAAUUGCCCGAAUCCUGACACAGGGAGGUAGUGACAAGAAAUAACAAUACAGGGCUACUUCUAGUCUUGUAAUUGGAAUGAGUACAACUUACAUCUCUUCACGAGGAUCAAU